AGAGGCUCCACAUUUUUGUCAUGAUGUAGUUUGUUUAUUCAAAGAUAAAAGCUGGACCCCUCACAGCCAUGGCUGGAGACCUCACCUACGAGUGGAUACACUGCGUAGGAACCCCAGUUGUCUGGGAUAAGACUACAAAUCAUCACUGCAAAAAAGGGGCUCCCCAGUGACUGAGGAUCUGGAUGAUGAUAAAAAAUGCCUCAGGCUCUGCCUCUGAGCAAUCCAGAAUGGAGGAAAAAUCGUACGUCACAGAUUUCUGUGGAUGGAGUACACAGCAUUUAGGAGAUGAAGUUGGCUUUUAUUCCUUGGCUCCACCCAGGAGUCUUUACUCACAAUUGAAAUGAAUUUUAUUAUUAACUGGAGAAUGUUUGCCUGAACUGCUGUUGACGCUCCACUUCAAUCAGAAAUUUUAGAAAGAAAGGCAAGGAACAGAAAACAAAUCUACUCUCUUUUUGUUUAUCUGAAAUGCACAGAAUGGGAACGACAGUUGUUUCUACUUAGUCUAAUGAACAAGUUUUUUUUCUGAUUUUUGAAAGGUAAAAAUACCAUUAUAUCGUGUUUGCUUUCUUCAGUAUGUACUUUAUAAAAAGAUGCAGAAGACACUGCCACUGUCAGACAGAAGACUUUUUCACUCCUAGCUGCACCCCACGAUGUGGUCCCGUCAUCCUGCCACCCCGAUUCCCACCAAGGGACUCACUGCCCUUGCAUCACAGCGCCUGUGUCUUCUGAGGGGAAACACCAUCCUGUGAACAUUUUCACAU
Cuculus canorus (common cuckoo) is the source of this 761-nucleotide long non-coding RNA. RefSeq lists it as uncharacterized. The transcript is spliced from 3 exons. Lineage: Eukaryota; Metazoa; Chordata; Aves; Cuculiformes; Cuculidae. The record is from RefSeq and is a predicted model, not a curated record.